AUAUCAAUAAGCGGAGGAAAAGAAACCAACAGGGAUUGCCCUAGUAACGGCGAGUGAAGCGGCAAAAGCUCAAAUUUGAAAUCUGGCUCUAAGCCCGAGUUGUAAUUUGUAGAGGAAUAUUCGGCAAUGUUAUUGGUAUAAGUUUCCUGGAACGGAACGUCUUGGAGGGUGAGAACCCCGUAUAUUACUGAAUGACAGCGCUAUGUGAAUAUCCUUCGAAGAGUCGAGUUGUUUGGGAAUGCAGCUCAAAAUGGGUGGUAAAUCUCAUCUAAAGCUAAAUAUUGGCGAGAGACCGAUAGCGAACAAGUACCGUGAGGGAAAGAUGAAAAGAACUUUGAAAAGAGAGUUAAACAGUACGUGAAAUUGUUGAAAGGGAAACGUUUGAAAUCAGUCAUUUCUUCUGGAAAUCAGCCUUGCUUUUGCAUGGUGUAUUUUCCAGUGGAAAGGUUAACGUCAAUUUUGGUUGUCGGAUAAAAGCCUUUGGAAUGUGGCUCUCUUCGGGGAGUGUUAUAGCCAAGGUCAAUACGAUGACUGGGAUUGAGGAUUCGCCGCCAAUGCUCUCUGGGCAGUGGCAUCAUGCGCUCAGGUUA
Molecule: ribosomal RNA, 590 nt
Filed under: uncultured fungus
Lineage: Eukaryota; Fungi
Description: eukaryotic LSU rRNA
Rfam family: Eukaryotic large subunit ribosomal RNA
Source: RNAcentral